This 400-nucleotide ribosomal RNA is filed under the name uncultured bacterium. RNAcentral's name for it is "bacterial SSU rRNA". It matches the Rfam family "Bacterial small subunit ribosomal RNA", at positions 975 to 1375 of the family's 1533-position model. The record is from RNAcentral.
CUGGCCUUGACAUCCUGCGAACUUUCUAGAGAUAGAUUGGUGCCUUCGGGAACGCAGUGACAGGUGCUGCAUGGCCGUCGUCAGCUCGUGUCGUGAGAUGUUGGGUUAAGUCCCGUAACGAGCGCAACCCCUAUCCCUAGUUGCUAGCAGUUCGGCUGAGAACUCUAGGGAGACUGCCGGUGACAAACCGGAGGAAGGUGGGGAUGACGUCAGGUCAUCAUGGCCCUUACGGCCAGGGCUACACACGUGCUACAAUGGUGCGUACAGAGGGCUGCAAACCCGCGAGGGGGAGCUAAUCUCACAAAACGCAUCGUAGUCCGGAUCGGAGUCUGCAACUCGACUCCGUGAAGUCGGAAUCGCUAGUAAUCGCGAAUCAGAAUGUCGCGGUGAAUACGUUCCC